GAACGCACCUUGCGCCCUUUGGCUAUUCCGAAGGGCAUGCCUGUUUGAGUAUCAUGAACACCUCAACUCUCGUGGCUUUGCCAUGAUGAGCUUGGACUUUGGGGGUCUUGCUGGCCUGCGGUCAGCUCCUCUCAAAUGAAUUAGCUUGCCAGUGUUUGGUGGCAUCACGGGUGUGAUAACUAUCUACGCUUGUGGUUUUCCACCAGGUAACCUUCAGUGAUGAAGGUUCUCUGGAGCUCAUAAAUGUCUCUCCUCAGCGAGGACAGCUCUUUGAACGUUUGAUCUCAAAUCAGGUAGGACUACCCGCUGAACUUA
Molecule: unclassified non-coding RNA, 315 nt
Filed under: uncultured Tomentella
Lineage: Eukaryota; Fungi; Basidiomycota; Agaricomycetes; Thelephorales; Thelephoraceae
Description: sequence contains 5.8S rRNA gene
Source: RNAcentral